GGUCAAGUUAUUAAGGGUGCAGGGCGGAUGCCUUGGCACUAGGAGCCGAUGAAGGACGUGAUAAGCUGCGAUAAGCUUCGGGGAGUUGCACGUAAACUUUGAUCCGAAGAUUUCCGAAUGAGGAAACUCACUUAGAGUAAUGUCUAAGUAUCAUUAAGUGAAUACAUAGCUUAAUGAGGGGAACUCAGGGAACUGAAACAUCUAAGUACCUGAAGGAAGAGAAAGAAAUUCGAUUCCGUAAGUAGCGGCGAGCGAACGCGGAUUAGCCCAAACCAAUAAAGUUUUCUUUAUUGGGGUUGCGGACAUAUCAUAACGAAGAGGUAUCGUAAUUGAAGAGGUUUGGAAAGACCCACCACAGAAGGUAAUAGUCCUGUAUGUUAAACGAGAAGACUUUAGAUAUGAUCCAGAGUACCACGGGACACGUGAAACCCUGUGGGAAGCAGGAGGGACCACCCUCCAAGGCUAAAUACUACCUAGUGACCGAUAGCGUAUAGUACCGUGAGGGAAAGGUGAAAAGAACCCCGGGAGGGGAGUGAAAUAGAACCUGAAACCCUGCACUUACAAGCUGUGGAAGCACAUUUCUUGUGUGACCGCGUACUUUUUGUAGAACGGGCCAACGAGUUACGUUAAGUAGCAAGGUUAAGCACUUAAGGUGCGGAGCCGUAGCGAAAGCGAGUUUUAACUGAGCGUUCAGUUACUUGACGUAGACCCGAAACCGGGCGACCUACCCAUGAGCAGGAUGAAGCGAAAGUAAAAUUUCGUGGAGGUCCGAACCCACGAGCGUUGAAAAGCUCGGGGAUGACUUGUGGGUAGCGGUGAAAUUCCAAUCGAGCCCGGAGAUAGCUGGUUCUCCCCGAAAUAGCUUUAGGGCUAGCCUCAAGGUGAGAGAUACGGAGGUAGAGCACUGAAUGUCCUAGGGGGUAUUGCACCUACCGAAGACUAUCAAACUCCGAAUGCCGUCAUCUUAUACUUGGGAGUCAGACUGUGGGUGAUAAGAUUCAUAGUCGAAAGGGCAACAGCCCAGAUCGUCAGCUAAGGUCCCUAAAUGUAAGUUAAGUGGUAAAGGAUGUGGGAUUGCACAGACAACCAGGAUGUUGGCUUAGAAGCAGCCACUCAUUCAAAGAGUGCGUAAUAGCUCACUGGUCGAGUGAUCCUGCGCCGAAGAUUUCCGGGGCUAAAACUUACUACCGAAGCUACGGCAUCAGUAAUGAUGGGUAGGGGAGCUUCCCAUACGGGUUGAAGCAUGACCGUAAGGACAUGUGGACAGUAUGGGAGUGAGAAUGUUGGCAUGAGUAGCGAGAUGUGGGUGAGAAUCCCACAGGCCGUAAACCCAAGGUUUCCAGGGGAAGGUUCGUCCGCCCUGGGUUAGUCGGGACCUAAGCUGAGGCCGAAAGGCGUAGGUGAUGGACAACAGGUUGAUAUUCCUGUACUACCGAUAACCGUUUGAGAGAAGGGAUGACACAGUAGGAUAAGCUAAGCACACUGUUGGUUAUGUGUGCCCAAGCAUUGAGGCAGUCAAAGUAGGCAAAUCCGCUUUGAUAAUGCUGGGAUGUGAUGGGGAGCGAAAUUUAGUAGCGAAGUAGCUGAUUUCACACUGUCAAGAAAAGUCUCUAUCGAGGUUAAAGGUACCCGUACCGCAAACCGACACAGGUGGGUGAGGAGAGUAUCCUAAGGCCAGCGAGAGAACUGUUGUUAAGGAACUCGGCAAAAUGACCCCGUAACUUAGGGAUAAGGGGUGCCACCAUCAGGUGGCCGCAGAGAAUAGGCCCAAGCGACUGUUUACCAAAAACAUAGGUUUCUGCUAAGUCGCAAGACGAUGUAUAGGAGCUGACGCCUGCCCGGUGCUGGAAGGUUAAGGGGAUCUGUUAGAGCAAUCGAAGCAGUGAACUUAAGCCCCAGUAAACGGCGGCCGUAACUAUAACGGUCCUAAGGUAGCGAAAUUCCUUGUCGGGUAAGUUCCGACCCGCACGAAAGGCGUAACGAUUUGGGCACUGUCUCAACAACAGACUCGGUGAAAUUGUAAUUCCGGUGAAGAUGCCGGAUACCUGCGACAGGACGGAAAGACCCCAUGGAGCUU
Molecule: ribosomal RNA, 2077 nt
Filed under: Clostridioides difficile
Lineage: Bacteria; Bacillati; Bacillota; Clostridia; Peptostreptococcales; Peptostreptococcaceae
Description: partial 23S ribosomal RNA
Rfam family: Bacterial large subunit ribosomal RNA
Source: RNAcentral